GACGUAGGAUGCGAGCGUUGUCCGGAUUUAUUGGGCGUAAAGAGUUCGUAGGCGGUUCAUUAAGUCUGGUGUAAAAGACGGGGGCUCAACCCUCGGAUCGCACUGGAUACUGGUGGACUCGAGUGGAGUAGAGGCAAGCGGAAUUCCCAGUGUAGCGGUGAAAUGCGUAGAUAUUGGGAAGAACACCGGUGGCGUAGGCGGCUUGCUGGGCUUUAACUGACGCUGAGGAACGAAAGCUAGGGUAGCGAAUGGG
RNAcentral lists this ribosomal RNA (253 nucleotides) under uncultured bacterium. RNAcentral describes it as "partial 16S ribosomal RNA". It matches the Rfam family "Bacterial small subunit ribosomal RNA", at positions 524 to 776 of the family's 1533-position model. The record is from RNAcentral.